AAGCCCAUGAAAUGGGCAUAAUCUUAACAGGUCCUUAAAACGCUCUCAGGCUUAAAACAAAGAUUCCCCAUCUUUCUGUCUAAAAUUAGAUAUAUCACUCAUAAUUU
Molecule: small nucleolar RNA, 107 nt
Organism: Lathyrus oleraceus (garden pea)
Lineage: Eukaryota; Viridiplantae; Streptophyta; Magnoliopsida; Fabales; Fabaceae
Source: RefSeq, a predicted model, not a curated record